RNAcentral lists this ribosomal RNA (3405 nucleotides) under Triticum aestivum (bread wheat). RNAcentral's name for it is "partial small subunit ribosomal RNA". Lineage: Eukaryota; Viridiplantae; Streptophyta; Magnoliopsida; Poales; Poaceae. The record is from RNAcentral.
AUGACGCUCAUGCUAGUCUCCUCAUAUGUUGAUCACAUAGCCUCCAAUGAUGCUGAUGAUGUCAUGUUGUCUUCGAAGAAUUCAGUGGCUUCUUCGUCCCCAACAUCUUCGUGGUCUCUCUUGACCACUGCCGCCAGUAGCUCCUCGGUGGACAAAGCUCCGCUAGAACCGGCGGCCGAGGCGUCGAGCUCCGAUCCGUGGGAGAGCGACGACUGCACGUUCGAGUACAUCGACUCGGAGCUCUCCCGGGACUCUGCUUCUGCGCCGAUCGUCGGGCUCUCCUUGACGCUCGUGGUAGUCUCCUCAUAUGUUGAUGCCAUGGCCUCUGAUGAUGCUGAUGAUGUCAUGUUGUGUCUUCAAAGACUUCAAUGGCUUCCUCUUGACGGGGCGUUCGCCAAGAAGAAGAAGAAGAGGGGUGCCCAACCCCAACCGGGUGGUCCGGCCUCUUCGGUCACUAACCCGACGGUGGUGGUGGCGCCCCCCUCGACCGCGGCCGCGGUCACCUGCUUCAACUGUGGGGUGGCCGGGCAUUGUCAGGUGGACUGCCCCAAGCCUCCGGCUUGCUACCUCUCCAAGAAGACGGUUCACCCCGCCGCCCUCUGCCCGGUGCACCAGCCUCGUGGGACCCUUGGGUUGUUUGGCUAUGCGUUGGAUGACCUGGGCUUCUUCCAGAUGGACCUCCCUGAGGCCCGGGCCACCCCGCCCAUGACCGCUCUCAUCUCGGUCUUGGAUGGCCGGACGGCUUCACUGGCCAUCAUCUAUGAGGAGCUUUGCCACCUGUUUAACCCGGAUUGGGAUUGGGAGGUGACCCCGAUCUCGGACCGGGAGUUCACCACGAUCUCCCCCGACCCGGUCAGCCUCCGCUACGGCACCCACCGCGCCAGACUCACGCUCGCCCUCAACCAGCUCUCAGUCCGCAUCUCGGUCCCGUCGGUGGACCCGCUUGCGGUGGCCACCUUGUCCACGGUGUGGGUGCAGAUCCGUGGGCUUCCCCCACCUGCUAGGGACGAGGGGGUCCUCCGUGGCUUGUCCCGUCUGUUGGGCACGUAUGUGGCUGUCGACAGCGCCUCUCUGCCCAAGGGCCCUGCUGUUCGGAUUCUGAUCAAGUCCCCCGACCCCUCCAAGCUCAAGACGACGAUCCGGAUGUUCUUCAACGACGUUGGUUAUGACCUGCGCAUCUUGGUUGAGGGUGGGACUCCCACUGAUCCCCUCAGCCCGGAUGAUGGGGGUGGCGCCAACCCCGAGCCAGGGCCGGACAGGGGGGCUGACACUCAGGGUUCCCCCCGUCGCCCUCGCAACCGCUCACCCCACUCUGAGGCCUCCGACGAUGACUCGACAGACCCUGGGGACGAUCUUCCUCCAGUCGGCUCCUUCCACCCCUCGUCUACUCACUGCUCGGGGUUGGGCUCCCGCGAUGCCUGCCCCGGGGACGAGUCUGAGGACAUUGAGACUAUUGCUGCCAUGCUCGACGAGGCCGCCACCCUCCCACCUGGCGCCACCCUCCCCCCUCCCUUCCUCCCUGUGUUACCGUCCUUGUCUAAGGAUGAGGGGAGCGGUGUCAGCCGGGGUAGCAUGGAGGUCCGCCCCCGUCCUCCCCACGGCUUGUGUCUCCAGCCUCCAAAGUCCCGGGGCCGCCACCGCUCGGCCUCUACUCCGGUCUCGUCUGCCCAAAACAGUGCCCGGCUCGGGGCGGCUCCGCGGCUGACCGGGGCCUCGCCGGCCGCGGUGGAGAAGGCCUCCCGACGCGCCGCCAUCCGCAACCUCGACACAGGUCCGUCUGACUCCCAGGCCCCUUGUCCUGAUUCUGAUGAUAUUUGCGACUCUUCCUUUUCUGCUCUUGCUGGUGUUCCACUUGGUCAUCUGGCCAAGGUCGCGGCCGACUCAGCUAUAGUCUUCCGUGGCAAGAAGGGCCCGGUCUUAGAGCAGCUUGCGUCCCUCCAGGCCAAGGAGAUUCUGGAGGGCCAUCUCGCAUCCACUCGGGCUCGCGAGGCGGCAGCAGCUGCGGAGGCCCCCACCCCUACGCCCCGCCGGGCUGGGGGUCGGGGUCACCUUGAGGACAACCCGGGUGUGAAGGAUGCCACCAUUGAGGUGGGCUCCAUGGACCGUGGAUCCCACUUUGUUAGCAUGGAGGUCUGGGAACGCGAUAUGAAUUUCAAGUGGGAGAUCAUCAUGGUGCAGUUCAUGAAGGGAUGGGAAGCUAAUAUUGGGAGGGAUCUUCGGAUCCAGAAGGCCUCCCUCCUAGAGGAGAUCCAGGCCCUUGAUCUCCGUGCAGAUAUUGCUGGGAUCUCCGCGGAGGAAUGGGCUCAUAGAUACAAUUUGGAGGACUCUCUCAUGGAGAUCUACUCCAAGGAGGAAGAAUUUUGGCGCCAACGUGGCUCUAUGAAUUGGGUGCUGUUUGGGGACGCCGGCACUGCUUACUUCCAGGCCAUCGCUAAUGGUCGUAGGCGACGCUGCUCCAUUCCCCUUUUAUGGGAAGGAGGUCAGCUGUUUCAGGAACCUCAGGCUAUCCGCUUGCUGGUCGACGACUUUUACAAGUCGUUAUUUCAGGGGUGCCCUCGGAGUGGGAUCGCCCUUGCAGACCACAUUUGGUCGCCCGACCAACAGAUCUCCCCGAAGGAAAACUCGGCCCUGCUCGCCCCUUUUGAUGCCGCGGAAGUGGAGGCCUUUGUCAACGCCAUGAACCCGGCCUCGGCCCAAGGCCCCGAUGUAUUCUUGGUCCGUUUUUUUCAGGCCUUCUGGCCGAUGGUCAAGGAGAUCAUCCUUGAUCUAUUCCGUGAGUUCUCUAGGGGAACAUUAGACAUGUCCCGGCUUAACUACGGGAUCAUUUCUCUGAUUCCCAAGGUGCCGGGUGCUGCGGACAUUAGGCAGUUCUGCCCCAUCACAGUCCUCAAUGUGAUAUUUCGGAUUUUGGCGAAGGGGUACGCCACUAGGGCGGCCCUAAUCGCCCCCCGGAUCCAUCACCCGAACCAGUUGCCCUUCACGAAAGGCAGGUAUAUUCUGGAUGGGAUCCUCGUUCUUCACGAGGUCAUCCAUGAGGUCAAGAGCAAACAUCUCCGCGCUGUGUUCUUCAAGAUCGACUUCCACAAAGCUUAUGACACCGUUCAUUGGUCCUUCCUUCGGGAGAACCUCAAGUUCCUCCUCCUCUGCUUUCAGAAAAUGUCUGGCCUCACAAUUAACUUCGCGAAAAGUGAGGUGAUGGUCCUGGGAUAUUCUCAGACGGAAGCUCAGCGAAUUGCCAACCGCUUGAACUGCCGCUUGGGGUCCUUCCCGGCUACUUACCUUGGCAUGCCACUUAGUGACACGCGUCUACUGGAGAAGGACUUCUGUCCAAUAAUCGCCAAGCUCCAACCUAGGAUGGAGCCUUGGCAGGGGAGAUGGCUUUCCAAAGCUGCUCGAGUUUAUUAG